GACGAACGCUGGCGGCGUGCUUAACACAUGCAAGUCGAACGGAAAGGCCCUGCUUUUGUGGGGUGCUCGAGUGGCGAACGGGUGAGUAACACGUGAGUAACCUGCCCUUGACUUUGGGAUAACUUCAGGAAACUGGGGCUAAUACCGGAUAGGAGCUCCUGCUGCAUGGUGGGGGUUGGAAAGUUUCGGCGGUUGGGGAUGGACUCGCGGCUUAUCAGCUUGUUGGUGGGGUAGUGGCUUACCAAGGCUUUGACGGGUAGCCGGCCUGAGAGGGUGACCGGCCACAUUGGGACUGGGAUACGGCCCAGACUCCUACGGGAGGCAGCAGUGGGGAAUAUUGCACAAUGGGCGGAAGCCGGAUGCAGCAACGCCGCGUGCGGGAUGACGGCCUUCGGGUUGUAAACCGCUUUCGCCUGUGACGAAGCGUGAGUGACGGUAAUGGGUAAAGAAGCACCGGCGAACUACGG
Molecule: ribosomal RNA, 467 nt
Filed under: uncultured bacterium
Lineage: Bacteria
Description: partial 16S ribosomal RNA
Rfam family: Bacterial small subunit ribosomal RNA
Source: RNAcentral